This 468-nucleotide ribosomal RNA is filed under the name uncultured bacterium. RNAcentral describes it as "partial 16S ribosomal RNA". It matches the Rfam family "Bacterial small subunit ribosomal RNA", at positions 28 to 507 of the family's 1533-position model. The record is from RNAcentral.
GACGAACGCUGGCGGCGUGCUUAACACAUGCAAGUCGAACGGAAAGGCCCUGCUUUUGCGGGGUGCUCGAGUGGCGAACGGGUGAGUAACACGUGAGUAACCUGCACUUGACUUUGGGAUAACUUCAGGAAACUGGGGAUCAUACCGGAUAGGAGAUCCUGCUGCAUGGUGGGGGUUGGAAAGUUUCGGCGGUUGGGGAUGGACUAGCGGCUUAUCAGCUUGUUGGUGGGGUAGUGGCUUACAAAGUCUUUGACGGGUAGCCGGUCUGAGAGGUUGACCGGCGACAUUGGGACUGAGGGACGGCGCAGACUCCUACGGGAGGCAGCAGGGGGGAAUAUUGCACAAUGGGCGGAAGCGUGAUGCAGCAACGCCGCGUGCGGGAUGACGUCCUUCGGGUGGUAAACAGCUGUCGCAUGUGACGAAGCGGGAGUGACGGUAAUGGGUAAAGAAGCACCGGCUAACUACGUG